Long non-coding RNA from Uranotaenia lowii, 395 nucleotides. RefSeq lists it as uncharacterized. Lineage: Eukaryota; Metazoa; Arthropoda; Insecta; Diptera; Culicidae. The transcript is spliced from 3 exons. The record is from RefSeq and is a predicted model, not a curated record.
AUGAGAAGCGGCCGUUUAAAUAAAAUCCUGUGAGGAAACCCUAUGGCAUCCAGCUCAUUAUAACGUGGAAAAACUAAAAAUAGGAACGAGUAUUUUGUCGCUUACGAUGGUAGAACAUGGUUUUUGAUGAAGACAACAUCAAAUUCAAGUACUUCGUCCCAAGAGUACAUAAUUCCUAUCGGCAUCGGAAUCGGCGAAUUGUGUUGCAGUAGGUAUAAUUCAACUUGGGACCCGGCAAUGGGAAAGAAACACCUGCUAUGGCUGAAAGGAACCGGUGCUGAGCAGGUUUAUCGAAUCCGGAACGGUAUCUGGUUCUCGAUUCGCCCGAAAUUCUGCACCAGAUGUUGGGUUAUGAUCCGAAUGAUACCCGGUCAAAGAAGGUUGACAGAUUAUCU